GAUGAACGCUGGCGGCGUGCCUAAUACAUGCAAGUCGAGCGAACAGACGAGGAGCUUGCUCCUCUGACGUUAGCGGCGGACGGGUGAGUAACACGUGGAUAACCUACCUAUAAGACUGGGAUAACUUCGGGAAACCGGAGCUAAUACCGGAUAAUAUAUUGAACCGCAUGGUUCAAUAGUGAAAGACGGUUUUGCUGUCACUUAUAGAUGGAUCCGCGCCGCAUUAGCUAGUUGGUAAGGUAACGGCUUACCAAGGCAACGAUGCGUAGCCGACCUGAGAGGGUGGUUCGGCCACCUGGGAACGGAGCCAGGGUCCAGACUCCAAGGGAAGGCGGCGUAGGGAAACUUUCGGCAUGGGGCGAAAGCUUGAGGGAGAACGCCGCGUGAGUGAUGAAGGUCUUCGGAUCGUAAAACUCUGUUAUUAGGGAAGAACAAAUGUGUAAGUAACUAUGCACGUCUUGACGGUACCUAAUCAGAAAGCCACGGCUAACUACGUG
RNAcentral lists this ribosomal RNA (497 nucleotides) under uncultured bacterium. Its description in RNAcentral is "partial 16S ribosomal RNA". It matches the Rfam family "Bacterial small subunit ribosomal RNA", at positions 28 to 507 of the family's 1533-position model. The record is from RNAcentral.